This 404-nucleotide ribosomal RNA is filed under the name uncultured bacterium. RNAcentral's name for it is "bacterial SSU rRNA". It matches the Rfam family "Bacterial small subunit ribosomal RNA", at positions 355 to 775 of the family's 1533-position model. The record is from RNAcentral.
UGAGGAAUAUUGCACAAUGGGCGCAAGCCUGAUGCAGCAACGCCGCGUGAGGGACGAAGGCCUUCGGGUCGUAAACCUCUUUUCUGGGGGACGAGUAAGGACGGUACCCCAGGAAUAAGUCUCGGCUAACUGCGUGCCAGCAGCCGCGGUAAAACGUAGGAGGCGAGCGUUAUCCGGAUUUACUGGGCGUAAAGCGUACGCAGGUGGCUUCGUUAGUCGGACAUGAAAGCUCCUGGCUUAACUGGGAGAGGUUGUUCGAUACUGCGGGGCUUGAGGUUGGGAGAGGGACGUGGAAUUCCCGGUGUAGUGGUGGAAUGCGUAGAUAUCGGGAGGAACACCAGUGGCGCAAGCGGCGUCCUGGCCCACACCUGACGCUGAGGUACGAAAGCGUAGGUAGCAAACAG